CCCUAGCCCUGAUGGUCCCGAAGCUUCGGGAGGCAUCCUUUUGUGCCGGGGUUCGGCACAAAAGAUAUAGCGGACAGCAGGAAUCAGC
Molecule: small RNA, 88 nt
Filed under: Flavobacterium pectinovorum
Lineage: Bacteria; Pseudomonadati; Bacteroidota; Flavobacteriia; Flavobacteriales; Flavobacteriaceae
Description: Flavo-1 RNA
Rfam family: Flavo-1 RNA
Source: RNAcentral